This 252-nucleotide ribosomal RNA is filed under the name uncultured bacterium. RNAcentral describes it as "partial 16S ribosomal RNA". It matches the Rfam family "Bacterial small subunit ribosomal RNA", at positions 524 to 776 of the family's 1533-position model. The record is from RNAcentral.
UACGUAGGGGGCUAGCGUUAUCCGGAUUUAUUGGGCGUAAAGCGAGCGCAGGUGGUUUAUUAAGUCUGGUGUAAAAGGCAGUGGCUCAACCAUUGUAUGCAUUGGAAACUGGUAGACUUGAGCGCAGGAGAGGAGAGUGGAAUUCCAUGUGUAGCGGUGAAAUGCGUAGAUAUAUGGAGGAACACCGGUGGCGAAAGCGGCUCUCUGGCCUGUAACUGACACUGAGGCUCGAAAGCGUGGGGAGCAAACAGG